RNAcentral lists this ribosomal RNA (183 nucleotides) under Triticum aestivum (bread wheat). RNAcentral's name for it is "partial small subunit ribosomal RNA". The record is from RNAcentral. Lineage: Eukaryota; Viridiplantae; Streptophyta; Magnoliopsida; Poales; Poaceae.
CGAAAGGCGGCCAACUCCCUACAAAUGCUUGUCUAUUGGGAGAUUUGGAACGAGAGAAAUGUUAGUGUCUUCUGUAACAAGGAGUCUCCGCCCACGAGAGUGGUAGCGAUAAUCAAGGAGGAGGCCAAGACGUGGGUGUUAGCCGGAGCUAGUUUUUUGGGUAAUAUAAAUCCGGGAGAGUGA